RNAcentral lists this RNase P RNA (269 nucleotides) under Methanosarcinales archaeon. RNAcentral describes it as "RNase P RNA component". It matches the Rfam family "Archaeal RNase P". Rfam says of the family: Ribonuclease P (RNase P) is a ubiquitous endoribonuclease, found in archaea, bacteria and eukarya as well as chloroplasts and mitochondria. Its best characterised activity is the generation of mature 5'-ends of tRNAs by cleaving the 5'-leader elements of precursor-tRNAs. The record is from RNAcentral. Lineage: Archaea; Methanobacteriati; Methanobacteriota; Methanomicrobia; Methanosarcinales.
GAGAGAGGAAGGGCAGCUGCCGGCAAUUCUAUUAUAGAAUUUGCUGAGGAAAGUCCCUCCACCAUGAAAACACGAAUGUCGUGAGGGCAUAAGGCGAGAGUCUUGGCUCUGGUAUAGAAACGAUACCGUGCCAUACUGAAGCGAUGAUUCUGUAAGGAUGAGGUCGUGUGGUUACGGAUGGAACGACCAACCUCGUGGGUGCAAGCCUUGAUUAGAGAGGCGCGAAGAUAAAUGCUGCCGAAACAGAAGGGGGCUUACUCUCCUCACUC